Molecule: ribosomal RNA, 387 nt
Filed under: Chaetoceros sp.
Lineage: Eukaryota; Bacillariophyta; Thalassiosirophyceae; Chaetocerotales; Chaetocerotaceae
Description: partial small subunit ribosomal RNA
Rfam family: Eukaryotic small subunit ribosomal RNA
Source: RNAcentral
AGCUCCAAUAGCGUAUAUUAAAGUUGUUGCAGUUAAAAAGCUCGUAGUUGAAUUUCUGGCUGGAAGGGAGCGGUCCCGCAUCUUUGCGGGUACUUGCUCGUCUUCUGCCAUCCUUGGGCUUAGUCUCGCUGAUAUUAACUUAUCGGCGUGUACGAUGCCCAUCGUUUACUGUGAGCAAAUUAGAGUGUUCAAAGCAGGCUUAUGCCGUUGAAUAUAUUAGCAUGGAAUAAUAAGAUAGGACCUAGUGACUAUUUUGUUGGUUUGCGUUAUUAGGUAAUGAUUAAGAGGGACAGUUGUGGGUAUUCGUAUUCAGGUGUAAGAGGUGAAAUUCUUAGAUUAUCGGAAGACGAACGACUGCGAAAGCAUUUACCAAGGAUGUUUUCAUUA